GGGGAUGUAAUGGUUUCGACAUUACACCAGAAAGAUAGAUAGCAAGUAGUGGAUUCUCGUUGGCCACUUAAAAAACGAGAAACUUAAAUAUAAACGCUGAUAAUAGAGAAUUAGCAUUAGCUGCCUAAUUGCGGCUACGCUUUACUAGAUAUCCCCACAUAUUUAGAUAAAGUGUCAUAUUAGUGGGAAACAAAGCUGUUAAUUCUUUCGGAACAGUGGGUAUUUAGAAAGAUAUAUUUUUAUAAAACUUGUUUGUUGGUGUUAUAAAAAUGAAUCUAAAAAACAAACUAAACUUGUAGAAUUCUAUUUGGAAAGUGUUAUGGACAGGAGUUCGACUCUCCUCAUCUCCACCA
Molecule: transfer-messenger RNA, 353 nt
Filed under: Clostridia
Lineage: Bacteria; Bacillati; Bacillota
Also listed under: 2 other names
Description: CAG-269 sp014846485 Standard tmRNA
Rfam family: transfer-messenger RNA
About the family: Bacterial tmRNA, also known as 10Sa RNA or SsrA, is named for its dual tRNA and mRNA-like properties. Its role is to liberate the mRNA from a stalled ribosome. To accomplish this part of the tmRNA is used as a reading frame that ends in a translation stop signal.
Source: RNAcentral